CGGAGGCACCUGAGCGAUGUCAUCAGCGAGACCUACCUGUCUGAAGACGAGAUGGCAGCCAUCAGUCGGGAGUGCCUGCAAGGCCUGGAUUUUCUUCACUCGAACCACGUGAUCCACCGAGAUGUGAAGAGCAGCAACAUCCUUCUCAGAACCGACGGCUCUGUCAAGCUGGUUGACUCUGGCCCCUUUGCUCAGCUCAGCCCUGAGCAGAGUCGAUGGAGCUCAGUGGCCAGCAUUUCUGGGUGGAUGGCGCCUGAAGUGGCGACAGGUC
Vidua chalybeata is the source of this 271-nucleotide long non-coding RNA. RefSeq lists it as uncharacterized. The transcript is spliced from 3 exons. The record is from RefSeq and is a predicted model, not a curated record. NCBI's taxonomy places the organism in Eukaryota, Metazoa, Chordata, Aves, Passeriformes, Viduidae.